Molecule: unclassified non-coding RNA, 353 nt
Filed under: soil metagenome
Description: partial contains 5.8S ribosomal RNA, internal transcribed spacer 2, and large subunit ribosomal RNA
Rfam family: 5.8S ribosomal RNA (bases 1-120)
Source: RNAcentral
GAUGAAGAACGCAGCGAAAUGCGAUAAGUAAUGUGAAUUGCAGAAUUCAGUGAAUCAUCGAAUCUUUGAACGCACAUUGCGCCCGCUAGUAUUCUGGCGGGCAUGCCUGUUCGAGCGUCAUUACAACCCUCAGGCCCCCGGGCCUGGCGUUGGGGAUCGGCGGAAGCCCCCUGCGGGCACAACGCCGUCCCCCAAAUACAGUGGCGGUCCCGCCGCAGCUUCCAUUGCGUAGUAGCUAACACCUCGCAACUGGAGAGCGGCGCGGCCACGCCGUAAAACACCCAACUUCUGAAUGUUGACCUCGAAUCAGGUAGGAAUACCCGCUGAACUUAAGCAUAUCAAUAAGCGGAGGA